UUCCCCACCCGAGACCACGAGCAAAAGCGAAUUAUAUUAUUCGCCGCUUUCCAGAACCUUCUUCAGUUCUUCUCCGACUCCGACUCCGACGACCAGUCAGCUCGAAGCGAUGGCCGCCGCCGCCGCCGGAUCCAAGGCCCUCGCCGUCCUCGCCGUCCUGGCGUUCGCCGCCAUCUCCGCCGUCUCCGCGGCCGACGCGCCGGCGCCCAGCCCCACCUCGCGCUCGUCGCCUCCGCCGCCGCCUUCCUCUUCUCCGCCGUCCGCCACUGAGCCCCCCCCCCCCUGUCGAUGGGGAUCAUCCUCGGCUUACAACAUCCGCCUCCGCCGCCUAGAUCUACUAGUACUAUUUAUCACCAUUACUAUUGUUACUACCACCGCUAGCUAGCGAAUUUGUUGGUUAUUAUUAUUAUUAUUAUUACUGCUAUUAUUAUUAUUCCUGUCGCAUUUUGCUCAGAUCUGCCGCUUCUAGCGCGCUGAUCUGUGUUCAUCGGUUGUGUGCGUCAGUGCGUGUGCGUGCUUGUAGAUACUUUCGUCUUGAGUGCUCUUCUCUUCUCCUCUGUUCGCUUUGCCCGCUACUGAUUUAUAUUACUGCUCCCACCCAUUUCGAUCUGAGUUGUAACUGUUUUCGCGACUCAUUUUUCUGACGUGAUUUCCUA
Molecule: long non-coding RNA, 656 nt
Filed under: Oryza brachyantha (malo sina)
Lineage: Eukaryota; Viridiplantae; Streptophyta; Magnoliopsida; Poales; Poaceae
Description: long non-coding RNA (OBRA_LNC000171)
Source: RNAcentral